UAGGGAAUCUUCGGCAAUGGGGGGAACCCUGACCGAGCAACGCCGCGUGAGUGAAGAAGGUUUUCGGAUCGUAAAGCUCUGUUGUUAAGGAAGAACGAGCGUGAGAAUGGAAAGUUCAUGCUGUGACGGUACUUAACCAGAAAGGGACGGCUAACUACGUGCCAGCAGCCGCGGUAAUACGUAGGUCCCGAGCGUUGUCCGGAUUUAUUGGGCGUAAAGCGAGCGCAGGCGGUUAGAAAAGUCUGAAGUGAAAGGCAGUGGCUCAACCAUUGUAGGCUUUGGAAACUGUUUAACUUGAGUGCAGAAGGGGAGAGUGGAAUUCCAUGUGUAGCGGUGAAAUGCGUAGAUAUAUGGGGGAACACCGGUGGCGAAAGCGGCUCUCUGGUCUGUAACUGACGCUGAGGCGCGAAAGCGUGGGGAGCAAACAGG
This 429-nucleotide ribosomal RNA is filed under the name Verrucomicrobiota bacterium. Its description in RNAcentral is "Verrucomicrobia bacterium partial 16S ribosomal RNA". It matches the Rfam family "Bacterial small subunit ribosomal RNA", at positions 355 to 776 of the family's 1533-position model. Lineage: Bacteria; Pseudomonadati; Verrucomicrobiota. The record is from RNAcentral.